Carlito syrichta (Philippine tarsier) is the source of this 725-nucleotide RNA transcript. It is a transcript of the gene named prefoldin subunit 1 pseudogene, with no coding region annotated. The record is from RefSeq and is a predicted model, not a curated record. Lineage: Eukaryota; Metazoa; Chordata; Mammalia; Primates; Tarsiidae. The transcript is spliced from 3 exons.
UGGAGUGCACCAAGAUGGUGGCCCCCGUGGAUCUGGAGUUGAAGAAGACCUUCGCAGAGCUUCAAGCCAAAGCUAUUGACACUCAGCUGAAGAUGAAGCUUGCAGACAUACAGAUUGAACAGCUAAACCGAACAAAAAAGCAUGCACAUCUUACAGAUACAGAGAUCAUGGCUUUGGUAGAUGAGACUAACAUGUACGAAGGUGUAGGAAGAAUGUUUAUUCUUCAAUCCAAGGAGGUAAUUCACAAUCAGCUGUUAGAGAAACAGAAAAUAGCAAUUAAAAUUAAAGAACUAGAGCAGAAGAAACCCUACCUGGAACGGAGCAUUAAAGAAGCUGAGGACAAUAUCCAGGAGAUGCCGAUGGCACAAAGGGGCCAGCAGCGAACCUCUAGGGGAAGCUCUUCCUCCUGCUCUCCUAUUCCUGGCAAAGGUGGAGAGUUGCUUGUGGGCCAGUCCAGGACUUAUAAACCCCGAACACAUGUACGAACAAUUGCAGUUGUCUCCUCUCUGGCCACCUCAAUGUGGACUCUGAUCCUUCUGAGGUCCUGGAUCCUAUUCACCAACGUGGGUAUGCCCCGGUGCCUCUACCUCAUGACCACUCCUGAAAAGGUCACCUUGCCACCAAACAUGAGACCAGGAGGCCUGGAGCUGUGCCUGAGAGCAGCUGCAAGUCGUUUCGUCUGCAUAGUUGAGUGUGGCAGGAACCGGGAUCCCACUUCACCCUAA